GAGUUCCGGCAGAGAGCGAGGUGAGAAACGCAGCGCGGCCGUCGAUCCCAGGGCCCUCCAGGCCCUCCGGCCUGAGGCUGGCGGGUGACCUGGGGGGCCCGGGGACAGGUCGCGGGCUCCGACCUGCAGAGACCCAGCGCCCUCGCCGCCGCUGCCCAUCGGCCAGGUCCAGAAUGAAGCAGCUGCGAGCUUCUCCGCACCCCCCACCCCCACCUUGGCGCCGAUGGCGGCGGCCUCUCGGAGCCCAGACCUCGCCUGCUGCCCACUCCCCGGGCGCAACUCUGCGGGACCUCCGCCAAGCCCCUGCCCGAGCCAGCGGGGUCGUGGCGCCUUUGGACGUCGGGUGUGGCGGAGCGAGAAGAAUGGCGGCCACGCGAAUGCUGCGGAGGGCCGUUGGGGCCGCCGAGAGCCUGAGAAGGCAGGUCUGCGUGGACGCAAGCUCGGCAACCUUUGGGCCUUGGAGCCCCACAGGCCCGGCCCUGGGAUGACAGCUCCGCCCCCACUGGACGAAACCUCACUUUCUAUGGAGAACGGUGGACAGAGGCCCUAACGGGCCGGGAAGAAAUGUCUUUUGAAAAUGACUUUGAAAUGGAAUUGCUAGACCACCUCUAGAAGGGACAUCAGGAGCGACUCGCGUCCACGUUUGUUCAGUGGGUAAGAGGACAUGAAGUAGACGACCUUGAGGAGGAAGAAAAGAAGGUUCGGUGCCAGACUGGUCAUAUUUAGAAGACAUUUUCAUAUUACAACCAUUGUUUUGUGUGUGCAUUUUAUCCCUCAGCUACUGUAUAUAUAGUUGACAAUGCUAAGUACAUUUUUGAAAUAUCUAGUCUUUCUAGAUGUUCUGAAGUGCCUGAUAACGUGUUAAAAAUAGACGUAGUAAAAAGACAUUCUUGUAAAUACCUUUCUGUUAACAUUCAUAUGGAAUGCUGUCUAAUUUAGGGGGAAUGGCCGAACCACCUCUUUGAAUAGUACACAUUGUGUUUGUGCACUGGUUCAGAGGGGGUGGGAGAAGGAAGUGCAGAGAGUUCUGCCAGUGUGUUUAUAGUGAGGGAAGGUAAACCAUUGUACUUUAUGUUCCUGCAUUUUGGUUUACUUAGCUGUGUAUAUAGUGUACAUACUGGACAAAUGAGUCCUAAUUUUCAACAUCUAGUCUUUCUAGAUGUUAAAGAGGUUGCCAGUGUAUGACAAAAAUAGAGUUAGUAAACUAAUACAUGGUGUACAUUUUGUGUUAAAAUUCCUAGAAAGCUCGUCUUCUGAAAAUGUGAGCAUUAUAGCCCACUGGGUUGGUGGAGAAAGGAGAGAUAAGAAUGGAUAGUCUUAGGCUAGAAUGUUCACAUUUUGAAGACACUUUCAGAUUAUAACUGUUACAUGUGUGCAGUUUAUUCAAGACUGCUGUGUAUAUAGUGGACAAAUUAUGUCCUUAUUUAAAACAUCUAGUUUGUCUAGAUGUUUAGAAGUGCCCAACGUAUGUUAAAUGUAGAGGUAGUAGAAUACCGCUUUGUAAAUAUCUUUUUGCUUAAAAUUCAUAGGAAAUAAACCGUCUUGGUGAUGGAAUUGUUCAACCACCUCUGAGCAGUAUUCUAUCAUGUAUCUUUGUUCUGUUGCUUGAAGGUGGUGGAAGGGAAAGAAUUGCAAAAGGUAAUAUGUUAGCGUGUUUGUGCUUGGACAUUUUCAGACAAAACCAUUUUUUGUAUGUUUUGUGCAUUGUGUUUUGCUGUGUAUAUAGUGUAUAUAAUGGACAAAUGAGUCCUAGUUUUGCAACAUCUAGUCUAUAGAUGUUGAAGAGGUUGCCAAUGUAUGACAAAUUAGUAAAAUUAGCACAUUCUAUACACAUUGUGUUGAAAUUCAAAGGAAAGCUUUUCUUCUGUAAAUGACUUUUGGAUAUGAAUUUGUUCAACCACCUUUAAACAUUACACUUGCCUGUACUUGUCUACUGGAUUGGUGGUGGAGAGAAGGAAGUGAGGGAGGGGAUAGUUUAGUCCAAAAUGAUGGUCAUAUUUAGAAUAUAUCUCAGAUUGUACCCAUUGUUAGGUGUGUGCGGUUUUAUUUAACAGUGCUGUUGUGUACUCAGUGGACAAGUACUUAUAUGAAAUAUCUAGUCUUUCUAGAUAUUUAGAAAUGUUUGAUGUAUGUAAAAGUAGAGUAAUGCUUCUUAUAAAUAGCUUUUAAAAACUGAUGGGAAAUAUUAUCUUUGGAAAUGGAAUUGCUAAACCACUUCUCUGAACAGUAUACUUGUUCCUUGGUUUGAGGGAAGUGGGAGGGAAGAAAUUGCAAAAGAUGCUUUGCUAGUGUGUAGUAGGAAAUUUCAGCUUAUUCAUUGCCCUAUAUGUUAUGUGCAUUUAACUUGACUGUAUAUAUUGUAUAUAUACUGGACAAAUAGGUCCUAAUUUUAUAAUAUCUAGGCUCUAGAUAUUAAAGAGGUUGCCAAUGUAUGACAAAAGUAGAGUUAGUAAACUAACACAUUUUGUACACUUUGUGUUAAAAUUCAUGGAAAGGCUGUCUUCUGAAAAGGACUUGAAGAGAUAACAUUGUAGUCACAUCUAAGUGACACGUUCCUAUUUGCACUCACCCACUGGGUGGGCGGUAGAGAGGAGUUGUGAGAAAUGAAGGGUUCUAGACUGGAAUGUUGCCAUGUAGAAGACACUUUCAGAUAUAACCCAUUGUUACAUGUGUGUAGUUUAUUCAACACUACUGUGUAUAUAGUGGACAAACUCAAGUCCUUAUUUGAAACAUCUAGCCUUUCUAGAUGUUUAGAAGUGCACAAAGUAUGUUAAAAGUAGAGGUAGUAAAAUAACACAUUUUGUAGAUAAUCCUUUUGUUAAAAUUCAUAUGAAAUACUGUCUUUUGAAAAUGGAAUGAUCAAAAUGAUGAAACCAUCUCUCGGAGCAGUACACAUCAUAUGAUAUUUGUACUGGUUCAGGGAGGAGGGAGAAGAAAGAGCAAAGGGCUUUAUACCAGGAUGUUUGUAGUUAGGGAGGACUAACCAUUGUCCUGUAUGUCUGCAUUUUGUUUUAUUUAGCUGUGUAUAUAGUGUAUAUAAAGGACAAAUGAGUCCUAAUUUACAACAUCUAGUCUUUCUAGAUGUUUAAGAGGUUGCCAGUGUAUGACAAAAGUAGUUAGUAAACAAAUACAUUGUGUACACUUUGUGUUUAAAGUCAGGAAAGACUAUUCUGAAAACUAGAGGAAGUGAAAUUGUUAAAAUCCCCUCUAAGCAUUACAGAUGCUUCUACUUUCCACUAUGUUGAUAGAAAUGAGAAGAGGAAGGAUUCUAAGCCAGAAUAUUCUUUCAGUGCUACUAUGUAUGUAGUGGGCAAAUUUUUAAAUAAAUCCUUACUUGAAACAUCUAGUCGUCUGGAUGUUUGAAAGUGAACAACAUGUUAGUAGAGUAGCAACACCCUUUAUUGUUAAUUUACAGGAAUGUUUGUAUUUUGGGAAUGGAGUUGUUAAACUUGAUGUCUUGGGGAGUAUGCUGACUGUUCACUGGGUUCACUAGGGGAUGGGGAUGGGGGCAGGGAAGGAAGUGAGGAGCAAAGGGUUCUGUGCCCGUGAGUCUUUAAAGUUUUGUAUGUGCAUUUUAGUUAAUGUUGCUGUGUGUCAAAGGAUAAACAAGUCCUAAUACCCAAAAUAUAUUAAAAGUAGAGGUAGUAAAAUACUCCCUUUAUGAAUGCCCUUUUGUUAGUUUUUAAGAAGGACUGUUCUGGGAGUGUCUGUCAGUCACCUCUUAGAGCUAGAUGUAGUCCUAUGCUUGGUCAUUAAAAUGGUGGAGGGAGCAGAGGAGGGGUGAAGGGAAGGGCUUUUUGCUAGUUAUCUCCACAUAUAGAAGACCAUUUUAGGUUAAAACCAUAGGUCUGGAUGUGCAUUUUGAUGAAGUACCUGUGUUUGUUGUGGACAAGUGUCAUUAUUUUGUAACAUCUAAGCUUUUUGGAUGUCCUGAGGUGACAAUGUAUGAUAAAAUGUACAGCUAGUGAAUCAACCAAUUUAUAAGUUUUUGUUAUCAUUGAUAGGAAAGAAGCAUCUUGGACAUGGAAUUGUUACGCUGUCUCAGAAAUGUGAGGACUUACUAGGUUGGCCGCAGAGGGGCAGGAGGAAGGAUAGAGGGAGAGCUGUAUGCGGAUGCGUUCAUACUUACAUUGUAAUAACUGUUAAUGUGUGUGCGUCUCUUCGGCUGUACUAUAGGAAUACAUUAAGUGAUUCAAUGGAAACAUACCCCGUUGCUAAUAUUUGAAUAGUAUAGAUUGGAUAAUGAAUUCUUUUAGAAGCAUUAUACAUUGUGUACUCUUACUUAUGUCUGUUUUUAUUGAACAUUAAGGGAAUGCAGUAUUUUAAUGGUAACCCUGCCAGUAUCUUUAUCUAGAGGCCUGUUGCCAUUUUUGUCCUCUCUGAAAUCUUUGUCGCCGAGAAAGGCAGGAUUACACUUUUUUCUUUCAGAUGGAGUUGGUGUAGUGUAUUCUUGGUUA
Molecule: long non-coding RNA, 4457 nt
Organism: Mustela lutreola (European mink)
Lineage: Eukaryota; Metazoa; Chordata; Mammalia; Carnivora; Mustelidae
Exons: 2
Source: RefSeq, a predicted model, not a curated record